UACGUAGGUGACAAGCGUUGUCCGGAUUUACUGGGCGUAAAGAGCGCGCAGGCGGUCGUUCAAGUCGAGUGUGAAAGCCCCCGGCUCAACUGGGGAGGGUCACUCGAUACUGAUCGACUCGAAGGCAGGAGAGGGAAGUGGAAUUCCCGGUGUAGUGGUGAAAUGCGUAGAUAUCGGGAGGAACACCAGUGGCGAAGGCGACUUCCUGGCCUGUUCUUGACGCUGAAGCGCGAAAGCUAGGGGAGCAAACGGG
RNAcentral lists this ribosomal RNA (253 nucleotides) under uncultured bacterium. RNAcentral's name for it is "partial 16S ribosomal RNA". It matches the Rfam family "Bacterial small subunit ribosomal RNA", at positions 524 to 776 of the family's 1533-position model. The record is from RNAcentral.